GUCGCCGCGCCGGCCGCCAGGCGCUGGCCCUCGCUUUCGCCCCGCGCCGAGCGCCACACCUGGCUCUCUCUCCGCGCGGCCCAUAGAGAUGUGGGUAGAGGGCCGAGCGUCAGGCGCCGGCCCCUCUUCUUCCCCGCGCCGGGGGAGACCGCUCGCCAGCAUGCGCGGCCGAGGGCAGGGUGCGGCGACGCCGACUGAGGACGGGCAGCCGAGGUUGGGGGCUGGAUCCGCGGAAGGAGAGGCAAGCAUGAACGGGUAGCCGCUUUUGAAGGCAGGGUGCAGCGGCCGCCAUGGUCGCAGGCGGAUGCCACACAACGGACAGCCGCACAGGCAAACGCGGAAGCCGGGCCGGCGGCCGAAGUAGGCGUGGCAUCAUCCUCCCCUCUCUCCACGGAUCCGGUUGAGCCGGGCGGCGCAGCCGGCGGGGGCCACCAACUCCACGCGCGCGUAGCGGCCGGCAGAUUCAAGUGUCGCUUGAAGUGAGCGGCAACCGGCGGGAGCGAGAAGCUCCAAGCGCCUGCCGAAGCAUUGCUCGGAGUAGGCGUCAGCCGGCAGGAGCAACCGAGCAAGCGACUUCGCCCGGCGUCCGGUGAAGGCCCUCUUCGCUCGGCUUCCUGGCACAGUUUCGUGGAAGCAUGGGACGCUGCUCUUCCGCACGCGGCAGAAUUUCUCAGCCUUUGGCGCACUGCGUACCGCUGUUCAUCGCCCACAGCCGUAAGAGAUUAUGCCCAUCAGAGUGAGAGAUAUUACACAAGUGAUGCUGCAAAAUCUGCAUAAACCUUUGGUUUGCAUAAGGAUAAGGUCGUUGUGACAACUGAGUAUACAGAUAGCACAUGCACAUCAGAAUCUUCUCAGGAUGCAGCAGGAAUACAAAGAUUUGGUACAGAAUCAUUACAAUCUCUGAUGGAAAUUUCAACCUCCCUGACACUGUGCACCUGAUCGACCGAAUGUUUAAGAGGAAUUCUUGAGGCCAAGGUCCUUGUGACAACUGAGUAUAGUGAAAACACAUCAGAAUCUUCUCAGGGUGCUGCAGGAAUACAAAGACUUGGCAGUACAUCUAAAGACCAUGUGAAUAAAUUAGAGAUUAGAAGUAGCAAUAAUGGAACAUUUUUUAGAGUUAAUUACCUUUAUUCAAAUUUCAGGGUAUCCCUGAUCUGAAACUUGCAGAAGAGGCAGCGGAUUAUCUUAGGCACAAUUUUGAACUGCUCUUCACUGUACAUACUCAUGUACCGCCUUGGCUUCUAUGACUACAUUUCAAUUUUAUGU
This is a long non-coding RNA of Panicum virgatum (switchgrass), 1266 nucleotides long. RefSeq lists it as uncharacterized. The transcript has 5 exons. The record is from RefSeq and is a predicted model, not a curated record. NCBI's taxonomy places the organism in Eukaryota, Viridiplantae, Streptophyta, Magnoliopsida, Poales, Poaceae.